GAUGAACGCUGGCGGCGUGCCUAAUACAUGCAAGUCGAGCGAACAGACGAGGAGCUUGCUCCUCUGACGUUAGCGGCGGACGGGUGAGCAACACGUGGAUAACCUACCUAUAAGACUGGGAUAACUUCGGGAAACCGGAGCUAAUACCGGAUAAUAUAUUGAACCGCAUGGUUCAAUAGUGAAAGACGGUUUUGCUGUCACUUAUAGAUGGAUCCGCGCCGCAUUAGCUAGUUGGUAAGGUAACGGCCUACCAAGGCGACGAUGCGUAGCCGACCUGAGAGGGUGAUCGGCCACACUGGAACUGAGACACGGUCCAGACUCCUACGGGAGGCAGCAGUAGGGAAUCUUCCGCAAUGGGCGAAAGCCUGACGGAGCAACGCCGCGUGAGUGAUGAAGGUCUUCGGAUCGUAAAACUCUGUUAUUAGGGAAGAACAAAUGUGUAAGUAACUAUGCACGUCUUGACGGUACCUAAUCAGAAAGCCACGGCUAACUACGUG
This 497-nucleotide ribosomal RNA is filed under the name uncultured bacterium. RNAcentral's name for it is "partial 16S ribosomal RNA". It matches the Rfam family "Bacterial small subunit ribosomal RNA", at positions 28 to 507 of the family's 1533-position model. The record is from RNAcentral.